UUCCGGUUGAUCCCGCCGGAGGCCACUGCUAUGGGGGUCCGACUAAGCCAUGCGAGUCAUGGGGCGCGCUCUGCGCGCACCGGCGGACGGCUCAGUAACACGUCGGUAACCUACCCUCGGGAGGGGGAUAACCCCGGGAAACUGGGGCUAAUCCCCCAUAGGCCUGGGGUACUGGAAGGUCCCCAGGCCGAAAGGGCGUAAGCCGCCCGAGGAUGGGCCGGCGGCCGAUUAGGUAGUUGGUGGGGUAACGGCCCACCAAGCCGAAGAUCGGUACGGGCCAUGAGAGUGGGAGCCCGGAGAUGGACACUGAGACACGGGUCCAGGCCCUACGGGGCGCAGCAGGCGCGAAACCUCCGCAAUGCGGGAAACCGCGACGGGGGGACCCCCAGUGCCGUGGCAACGCCACGGCUUUUCCGGAGUGUAAAAAGCUCCGGGAAUAAGGGCUGGGCAAGGCCGGUGGCAGCCGCCGCGGUAAUACCGGCGGCCCAAGUGGUGGCCGCUAUUAUUGGGCCUAAAGCGUCCGUAGCCGGGCCCGUAAGUCCCUGGCGAAAUCCCACGGCUCAACCGUGGGGCUUGCUGGGGAUACUGCGGGCCUUGGGACCGGGAGAGGCCGGGGGUACCCCUGGGGUAGGGGUGAAAUCCUGUAAUCCCAGGGGGACCGCCAGUGGCGAAGGCGCCCGGCUGGAACGGGUCCGACGGUGAGGGACGAAGGCCAGGGGAGCGAACCGGAUUAGAUACCCGGGUAGUCCUGGCUGUAAAGGAUGCGGGCUAGGUGUCGGGCGAGCUUCGAGCUCGCCCGGUGCCGAAGGGAAGCCGUUAAGCCCGCCGCCUGGGGAGUACGGCCGCAAGGCUGAAACUUAAAGGAAUUGGCGGGGGAGCACUACAAGGGGUGGAGCGUGCGGUUUAAUUGGAAUCAACGCCGGAAAGGGCGAAUUCCACAUUGGGCUGCAG
Molecule: ribosomal RNA, 951 nt
Filed under: uncultured archaeon
Lineage: Archaea
Description: bacterial SSU rRNA
Rfam family: Archaeal small subunit ribosomal RNA
Source: RNAcentral